Molecule: ribosomal RNA, 497 nt
Filed under: uncultured bacterium
Lineage: Bacteria
Description: partial 16S ribosomal RNA
Rfam family: Bacterial small subunit ribosomal RNA
Source: RNAcentral
GACGAACGCUGGCGGCGUGCCUAAUACAUGCAAGUUGAGCGAUGAAGAUUGGUGCUUGCACCAAUUUGAAGAGCAGCGAACGGGUGAGUAACGCGUGGGGAAUCUGCCUUUGAGCGGGGGACAACAUUUGGAAACGAAUGCUAAUACCGCAUAACAACUUUAAACAUAAGUUUUAAGUUUGAAAGAUGCAAUUGCAUCACUCAAAGAUGAUCCCGCGUUGUAUUAGCUAGUUGGUGAGGUAAAGGCUCACCAAGGCGAUGAUACAUAGCCGACCUGAGAGGGUGAUCGGCCACAUUGGGACUGAGACACGGCCCAUACUCCUACGGGAGGCAGCAGUAGGGAAUCUUCGGCAAUGGACGAAAGUCUGACCGAGCAACGCCGCGUGAGUGAAGAAGGUUUUCGGAUCGUAAAACUCUGUUGGUAGAGAAGAACGUUGGUGAGAGUGGAAAGCUCAUCAAGUGACGGUAACUACCCAGAAAGGGACGGCUAACUACGUG